RNAcentral lists this transfer RNA (88 nucleotides) under Thermoprotei archaeon. Its description in RNAcentral is "tRNA-Leu". It matches the Rfam family "tRNA". From Rfam's summary of the family: Transfer RNA (tRNA) molecules are approximately 80 nucleotides in length. Their secondary structure includes four short double-helical elements and three loops (D, anti-codon, and T loops). Further hydrogen bonds mediate the characteristic L-shaped molecular structure. tRNAs have two regions of fundamental functional importance: the anti-codon, which is responsible for specific mRNA codon recognition, and the 3' end, to which the tRNAs corresponding amino acid is attached (by aminoacyl-tRNA synthetases). tRNAs cope with the degeneracy of the genetic code in two manners: having more than one tRNA (with a specific anti-codon) for a particular amino acid; and 'wobble' base-pairing, i.e. permitting non-standard base-pairing at the 3rd anti-codon position. Lineage: Archaea; Thermoproteati; Thermoproteota; Thermoprotei. The record is from RNAcentral.
GCGGGGGUGCCCGAGCAAGGUCAAAGGGGGCGGACUCAGGCUCCGCUGGCGUAGGCCUGCCCGGGUUCGAAUCCCGGCCCCCGCACCA